UCGGCCGUCGUCUAAUGGCAGGACAGGAGAUUUUGAUUCUCCUUAUUGGGGUUCGAAUCCCUGCGGCCGAA
This 71-nucleotide transfer RNA is filed under the name Polyangiaceae bacterium. RNAcentral describes it as "tRNA-Gln". It matches the Rfam family "tRNA". From Rfam's summary of the family: Transfer RNA (tRNA) molecules are approximately 80 nucleotides in length. Their secondary structure includes four short double-helical elements and three loops (D, anti-codon, and T loops). Further hydrogen bonds mediate the characteristic L-shaped molecular structure. tRNAs have two regions of fundamental functional importance: the anti-codon, which is responsible for specific mRNA codon recognition, and the 3' end, to which the tRNAs corresponding amino acid is attached (by aminoacyl-tRNA synthetases). tRNAs cope with the degeneracy of the genetic code in two manners: having more than one tRNA (with a specific anti-codon) for a particular amino acid; and 'wobble' base-pairing, i.e. permitting non-standard base-pairing at the 3rd anti-codon position. Lineage: Bacteria; Pseudomonadati; Myxococcota; Polyangiales; Polyangiaceae. The record is from RNAcentral.